UACGUAGGGUGCGAGCGUUAAUCGGAAUUACUGGGCGUAAAGCGUGCGUAGGCGGUUCGUUAAGUCAGCUGUGAAAGCCCCGGGCUCAACCUGGGAACUGCGGUUGAAACUGGCGAACUAGAAUCUGGCAGAGGGGGGUGGAAUUCCACGUGUAGCAGUGAAAUGCGUAGAGAUGUGGAGGAACACCGAUGGCGAAGGCAGCCCCCUGGGCUGAGAUUGACGCUCAGGCACGAAAGCGUGGGUAGCAAACAGG
RNAcentral lists this ribosomal RNA (253 nucleotides) under uncultured bacterium. RNAcentral describes it as "partial 16S ribosomal RNA". It matches the Rfam family "Bacterial small subunit ribosomal RNA", at positions 524 to 776 of the family's 1533-position model. The record is from RNAcentral.